This 66-nucleotide transfer RNA is filed under the name bovine gut metagenome. It matches the Rfam family "tRNA", at positions 5 to 66 of the family's 71-position model. Rfam says of the family: Transfer RNA (tRNA) molecules are approximately 80 nucleotides in length. Their secondary structure includes four short double-helical elements and three loops (D, anti-codon, and T loops). The record is from RNAcentral.
CAGUAGCUCAGUCGGAUAGAGCAUCGGAUUUCUAAUCCGGCGGUCGCAGGUUCGAAUCCUGCCUGG